GAGUUUGAUCAUGGCUCAGAUUGAACGCUGGCGGCAUGCCUUACACAUGCAAGUCGAACGGCAGCAUGAUCUAGCUUGCUAGAUUGAUGGCGAGUGGCGAACGGGUGAGUAAUACAUCGGAACGUGCCCUGUAGUGGGGGAUAACUAGUCGAAAGAUUAGCUAAUACCGCAUACGACCUGAGGGUGAAAGUGGGGGACCGCAAGGCCUCAUGCUAUAGGAGCGGCCGAUGUCUGAUUAGCUAGUUGGUGGGGUAAAGGCCCACCAGGGCGACGAUCAGUAGCUGGUCUGAGAGGACGAUCAGCCACACUGGGACUGAGACACGGCCCAGACUCCUACGGGAGGCAGCAGUGGGGAAUUUUGGACAAUGGGCGAAAGCCUGAUCCAGCAAUGCCGCGUGUGUG
This 402-nucleotide ribosomal RNA is filed under the name uncultured microorganism. RNAcentral's name for it is "bacterial SSU rRNA". It matches the Rfam family "Bacterial small subunit ribosomal RNA", at positions 9 to 407 of the family's 1533-position model. The record is from RNAcentral.